RNAcentral lists this long non-coding RNA (217 nucleotides) under Nicotiana benthamiana. RNAcentral's name for it is "long non-coding RNA (NBEN_LNC007935)". The record is from RNAcentral. Lineage: Eukaryota; Viridiplantae; Streptophyta; Magnoliopsida; Solanales; Solanaceae.
GUUUUGACAAUCGAUUGUCAUGGUCCAGUAACUUAAAUUUUUUUUUUCAUAAAACCAAACAAUCGAUUGUCUGGCUUUGACAAUCGAUUGUGGAUGGUCCAGUAACAAAAACUUUUUCAGAAAACCAAACAAUCGAUUGUCUGGUUUUGACAAUCGAGUGUUGGUCCAGUAAGGUUAAAAACGUUUCAACUCUCUUAAGUUUCAUUGAAUGUUAAUU